RNAcentral lists this long non-coding RNA (311 nucleotides) under Gallus gallus (chicken). Lineage: Eukaryota; Metazoa; Chordata; Aves; Galliformes; Phasianidae. The record is from RNAcentral.
GGGACGCGCCGGGACUCACUGCGUCCUCCCCCCUCUGGAAGGGGCAGUCCCACGUCGUCUCCCCGGUGCUGGGAUUGUAAUAGAACAAAUGUCCCGACUCCGUGUCGCGGUGGGUCUCCCAGUGGGCGCUGUGGGGCGGGCUGUGGGGCGGGCUGUGGGGCUGCGGGGCUGCGCUGCGCGCUGCGACCUCCCGCUGCAGCUCCUGCAGGUUGAGGUAGAUGUGGGCCGAGGGGUCCUCCGGCUCCCGGCGCUCCUGCGCCUCCCGCCGCCUCCCGGAGCUCUCAGUGGGGUGGGGGCCCACCCGGACCGCG